GUCAUUAAAAAGCCAUAGGCCAUUUGGACAGGUGACUUUCUGUCUUUGCUAGUGGCAGUAGUAGUUUAUGGCCAUGGAAACCAUGAUGUGCUGGCAUUUGAUUAUCAGUUCAGAUUUGCACCUUUGCAGGAUUCUAACAGGCAAAGACUUGGAAAGAGAUUUAGAAUCCCCCCCCACCACCACCACUGCAUACCCUAUUAAUGAAUCCCACGUGUAGGAAAAGGCCACUCUAAAUAGUUGGGUUGGAAGAAGCUCAAUUAUGAGAAUGAGGGCUUCUCUGGAAGUCACAGGCCGAUACAGAGAUGUGACAGACCUUGAGGACCACAGAGGGACAGCUGCGCACCUCACUUUUCCCAUUUGUCUUUCAAAAAAAAUCUAUUUCUUCCUGUUUGGCCAAAGGAUAAGGAUGUUGAUGGGGUCUAGGACAUGCAACCUCAAAAUACAUCACCUUGGCCUAUUGGAUAUUUUAAGCAGAAGGAAUUUGAGAAGCAAUGGGUUCAGGAAAGGCUCUCUGACCUCCCCCUUCUUCCCUGAAGCAGACUGUAGGCCCCCAGGUGGGAGGUGUCCUCCCUGUACUUGGAGAAACGGUGCACCCUCUCCUCUGAAGGGGGAGGGAGUCCGAACAAACAGGUCUUGCUACAUUUCCCCAGGUUACUACCGCGAGCUCUUACCCUUUUGUCCUCUGACAUAUUUUCCAGGACUUUCUACUCUUCCUCAAACAUAAUACAAAAACACUCAGCCUUAAACUUUUUUUCAGGUCUUCGUUUCCUCAUGAAGGCUCCCAUGUCACAUAGAACUCAUAUUAAUUAAACAAAUGUGUAUGCUUUUCUCCCGUUAAUCUGUCUUUGUUAGUUUAAUUUUCAGGCCCAGCCAGGGACCAAAGAGGGGCAUGGAAAAGUUUUUCCUCCUCUAAAAUACUAAAAAGGAAUUCUAAUUGUCCUUUCUGAAAAAUUCUUUAAUGCGAGGCCGUUUUGGACUGAUGAAAUACCAUGUGACCCCUUUAAUCCUCACCACAGCCCUACUAGGCUGCCUCGUUGUCUCCUCUUCCUGAAUGAGAAAGCAGGAACGUGGAAAUGCUGAGUAGCUUGCCCAGGUCUCACAACAAGGUUUCGCCCCCACAUCUGUUGGAAGACAAGACUCCCAGUAAAUGACUGACUAUGAUGCAGAAAUAAAUAGCCCGUGGAAAUGUAGGGGAGAUGCUUUUCAAUUUCUCCUGAGACAACUUCUUCCUUACUCUUACAUGUAUUCCUUCUAUCCCCAUCUGUCCCCCCCUACUUGAUUUCUAUAAGGGAGUGUUUUUCCAGGCAAAGAACACUUUCUUCUGACCCAGGAAAGAGGAAAGGAGUGGAAAGGCAGCUCAUGUUUUCCUUUGGGUUGGCAGAUAUUUUCCGACGACCUUGAUCAGUACUUUCAACAAAUGACGUCACAGUAGCUGGCACUCGGGGGAUGCUCAACCCACAACCCAGUGAGCCACACCAGUUAGGGCUGUCCUCAUUUUCUAUGCUGGGAAACUGAGUUCUAUUACAUGGGAAUCAAGGUCUCCCAACUGGAAAUCCAGUGUGAUUGCGCCAGGCCAGCGCUCACCCGGUGUGAAAGACUGGGAUGGAAACAGUGUACCAAGAAUGGAGUGGACGUGCCCAGGCAGAGACCAACGAUAAGAAAAUGGACUAAAACUCAGUCUGCUUUUUAUCAUCCCCAUGCACCAGGAAUUCUAAACAACCUUGGUGAUGGAAUACCUUCCUGAGAAAAACAAAACCCAGCUUUGGUUAGUCUAAGUUCUAAAUAAUUUCUGCAAUUACUUUUGAGUUAUAAUAAUCUAUAUGUACACUUUAAGUUAGCACAUUUUAUUACUUAUCCUUUAACAAACAUGGUAUCUAUUUGGAAGUUAACUCGAGGAACUCUAAGCUGUGCAGUUGGCAACUGAUGUAGACAGAGCUAUCCAUGUUUUGUCUGUGAGUUAAUUUGUAGUAGUCCAGUCAUUCAGACUUGCUUUAGGGGUAGUUGGGAUCCCAACCCCCGUGAUACAGAUAUGUUCCUGUGUAAGGAUCAACCAUGGGCAGCAAUAAAUAGACAAAUCUAGCUACCGUAGUCCCCCUUUAUCCAUGGGGUUACUUUCCACACUUUCACAUUCUCUGGUUUUAGUUACCCAUGGUCAACUGUGGUCCAAAAAAUUAAAUGGAAAAUUACAGAAACAAACAAUUCAUAGCUUUUAAAUUGCAUGCCAUUCUGAAUAACAUGAUAAAGUCUUGUACCCUCCCACUCUGUCCCACUCUAGACGUGACUCAUCCCUGCGUCCAGUCUCUCCAGGCUGUAGCAUCUCCCUGCCCACUAGUCACUUAGCAGCCUCCUCCAUCAUCAGAUCAACUGUCAUGGCAUUGCAGUGCUGAUGUUUGCCUGACCCUUAUUUUACUUAAUAACACAACAUUUCCAUAACUUUUAUUACAGUUUAUUGUUAUAAUUGUUCUAUUUUAUCAUUAGUUGUUCACUCUUACUGUGCUUAACUAAUAAGUUAAACUUUAUCACAGGUAUGUAUGUAUAGGGGAAAAAUAUAUAGUCUUUGUAGGGUGCAGAUCAAUUCUCAGUCUCUGGCAAUAUCUGGAGGUCUUGGAACAUAUACCCAAUGGAUAAGAGGGGGCUACUGUAUAUAUUUUUAUUUUAAUUAUCUAU
Molecule: long non-coding RNA, 2667 nt
Organism: Artibeus jamaicensis (Jamaican fruit-eating bat)
Lineage: Eukaryota; Metazoa; Chordata; Mammalia; Chiroptera; Phyllostomidae
Exons: 4
Source: RefSeq, a predicted model, not a curated record